GAAAUGCGAUACUUGGUGUGAAUUGCAGAAUUCCGUGAAUCAUUAAAUCUUUGAACGCAAAUUGCACUCCUUGGUAUUCCGAGGAGUACACUUGCUUGAGGGUCAGUUAAAUAAAAUAUCGUUACAUCUUUUGGUGUUACGGAUCUGGGUUAUCCGGUUUUUAGUCGGUUACCUAAAAUUAAGGAUUAUAUAAUGUGAUACGUACUAAAGAUAGAGUCGUUAAUCAUUAAAGUUUUUAUUACAUUACCAACUAUUAUGUUUAGUAGUAGGAGUGUAUAAUUUUUGAAAAUGACCUCAAGUCAAGUGAGAAUACCCGCUGAACUUAA
This 326-nucleotide unclassified non-coding RNA is filed under the name uncultured Glomeromycetes. RNAcentral describes it as "sequence contains ITS1". The stretch from base 1 to 105 matches the Rfam family "5.8S ribosomal RNA", at positions 50 to 154 of the family's 154-position model. The record is from RNAcentral. Lineage: Eukaryota; Fungi; Glomeromycota; Glomeromycetes.